RNAcentral lists this unclassified non-coding RNA (264 nucleotides) under air metagenome. RNAcentral describes it as "partial contains small subunit ribosomal RNA, internal transcribed spacer 1, and 5.8S ribosomal RNA". The stretch from base 1 to 46 matches the Rfam family "Eukaryotic small subunit ribosomal RNA", at positions 1786 to 1831 of the family's 1831-position model. The record is from RNAcentral.
AAGUCGUAACAAGGUUUCCGUAGGUGAACCUGCGGAAGGAUCAUUAAUGAGUUAGGGUCUUUAAAGGCCUAACCUCCAACCCUUUGCCUACUUUACUAUAUGUUGCUUCGGCGAGCCCGUCCCUUGAGAUAUAGGGACCGCCGGGGGUUUAACCACCUCUGGUCCGUGCUUGUCGAUAGCCAUUUCAAACUCUUUUUUAACUAUGACGUCUAAGUAAAGCAACUAAUAAACAUAAAACUUUCAACAACGGAUCUCUUGGUUCUG